ACGGAGAGUUUGAUCCUGGCUCAGGAUGAACGCUGGCGGCGUGCUUAACACAUGCAAGUCGAACGGGAAGCGGUGCCGGUUACUUCGGUGAUUUGGUGCCGUGGAGAGUGGCGAACGGGUGCGUAACACGUAGGUAACCUGCCCUGAAAAGGGGGAUAACCACGGGAAACUGUGGCUAAUACCGCAUAAUCUCGCCGAGACGGUGGUUUCGGUGAGGAAAGCUGAGGCGAUUUGGGAGGGGCCUGCGGUCGAUUAGCUGGUUGGUGGGGUAAAGGCCUACCAAGGCGAUGAUCGAUAGCUGUUCUGAGAGGAAGACCAGCCACACGGGAACUGAGACACGGUUCCGACUCCUACGGGGGGCAGCAGUGAGGAAUAUUGCGCAAUGGGGGCAACCCUGACGCAGCAACGCCGCGUGGAGGACGAAGGUUUUCGGAUUGUAAACUCCUUAUCUGGGGGAAGAGGAAGGACGGUACCCCAGGACGAAGACACGGCUAACUAGGUGCCAGCAGCCGCGGUAAUACCUAGGUGUCGAGCGUUAUCCGGAAUUACUGGGCGUAAAGGGUGCGCAGGCGGCGAUACAAGUCUGGCGUGAAAGCUUCUGGCUUAACUGGGAGAGGACGUUGGAAACUGUAUGGCUAGAGUGAAUGAGAGGGGGGCGGAAAUCCCGGUGUAGUGGUGGAAUGCGUAGAUAUCGGGAAGAACACCAGAGGCGAAGGCGGCCUCCUGGCAUUUUACUGACGCUGAGGCACGAAAGCGUGGGUAGCGAACGGGAUUAGAUACCCCGGUAGUCCACGCUGUAAACGAUGUGAACGAGGUGUGGGCGGUGUAGAAGCCGUCUGUGCCGGAGCAAACGCGAUAAGUUCACCGCCUGGGGAGUACGGUCGCAAGGCUAAAACUCAAAGGAAUUGACGGGGGCCCGCACAAGCAGCGGAGCGUGUGGUUUAAUUCGAUGCAACGCGAAGAACCUUACCUGGGCUUGACAUGUACGUAGUAGUGAAGGGAAACCGGAACGAGCCUUCGGGCAGCGUAGACAGGUGCUGCAUGGCUGUCGUCAGCUCGUGUCGUGAGAUGUUGGGUUAAGUC
RNAcentral lists this ribosomal RNA (1083 nucleotides) under Caldilineaceae bacterium SB0668_bin_21. RNAcentral describes it as "bacterial SSU rRNA". It matches the Rfam family "Bacterial small subunit ribosomal RNA", at positions 1 to 1086 of the family's 1533-position model. The record is from RNAcentral. Lineage: Bacteria; Bacillati; Chloroflexota; Caldilineae; Caldilineales; Caldilineaceae.